GCAUAUCAAUAAGCGGAGGAAAAGAAACUAACAAGGAUUCCCUCAGUAACUGCGAGUGAAGCGGGAAGAGCUCAAAUUUAAAAUCUGGUAGUCUUUUAGCUACCCGAGUUGUAAUCUAGAGAAGUGUUAUCCGCACUGGACCCAUGCGUAAGUCUCCUGGAAUGGAGCUUCAGAGAGGGUGAGAAUCCCGUGUGUAGCAUGGACUCCCAAUGCUUUUGUGAUACGCUCUCAAAGAGUCGAGUUGUUUGGGAAUGCAGCUCUAAAUGGGUGGUAAAUUCCAUCUAAAGCUAAAUAUUGGCGAGAGACCGAUAGUGAACAAGUACCGUGAGGGAAAGAUGAAAAGAACUUUGGAAAGAGAGUUAAACAGUACGUGAAAUUGUUGAAAGGGAAACGCUUGAAGUCAGUCUUGUCAUCUGGAAAUCAACCUUGCUUCUUUGCUUGGUGUAUUCUCCAGCUGAUAGGUCAGCAUCAAUUUUGACCAGUGGAGAAAAGUCAAGGGAAUGUAGCAUCUCUGGAUGUGCUUUAUAGCUCCUGGCUAUAUACAUUGGUUGGGAUUGAGGAACUCAGCAUGCCAUUAUAUAUGGUUGGGUUUUUUUUUUAAAACCACAUUCGUGCUUAGGAUGCUGGCAAUAAUGGCUUUAAUCGACCCGUCUUGAAACACGGAC
This 665-nucleotide ribosomal RNA is filed under the name Entoloma illinitum. RNAcentral describes it as "LSU rRNA". It matches the Rfam family "Eukaryotic large subunit ribosomal RNA", at positions 38 to 666 of the family's 3401-position model. The record is from RNAcentral. Lineage: Eukaryota; Fungi; Basidiomycota; Agaricomycetes; Agaricales; Entolomataceae.